ACACAUGCAAGUCGAGGGAGAAGCCCCUUUCGGGGGCAGAAAACCGGCGCACGGGUGCGUAACGCGUAUGCAACCUACCUUUCACAGGGGGAUAGCCCGAAGAAAUUUGGAUUAAUACCCCAUAAUAUUGUUGGAUGGCAUCAUCUGGCAAUUAAAGCUACGACGGUGGAAGAUGGGCAUGCGUCCUAUUAGCUAGUUGGAGUGGUAACGGCACCCCAAGGCUACGAUAGGUAGGGGUCCUGAGAGGGAGAUCCCCCACACUGGUACUGAGACAGGGACCAGACUCCUACGGGAGGCAGCAGUGAGGAAUAUUGGUCAAUGGUCGGAAGACUGAACCAGCCAUGCCGCGUGCAGGAAGAAUGCCUUAUGGGUUGUAAACUGCUUUUAUAUGGGAAGAAACAAGGCGUAACGUGUAACG
This 418-nucleotide ribosomal RNA is filed under the name Capnocytophaga gingivalis. RNAcentral's name for it is "bacterial SSU rRNA". It matches the Rfam family "Bacterial small subunit ribosomal RNA", at positions 51 to 474 of the family's 1533-position model. The record is from RNAcentral. Lineage: Bacteria; Pseudomonadati; Bacteroidota; Flavobacteriia; Flavobacteriales; Flavobacteriaceae.